This 505-nucleotide ribosomal RNA is filed under the name uncultured bacterium. RNAcentral's name for it is "partial 16S ribosomal RNA". It matches the Rfam family "Bacterial small subunit ribosomal RNA", at positions 28 to 507 of the family's 1533-position model. The record is from RNAcentral.
GACGAACGCUGGCGGCGUGCCUAAUACAUGCAAGUAGAACGCACAGUUUAUACCGUAGCUUGCUCCACCAUAGACUGUGAGUUGCGAACGGGUGAGUAACGCGUAGGUAACCUGCCUGGUAGCGGGGGAUAACUAUUGGAAACGAUAGCUAAUACCGCAUAAUAUUGAUUAUUGCAUGAUAAUUGAUUGAAAGAUGCUAUUGCAUCACUACCAGAUGGACCUGCGUUGUACUAGCUAGUAGGUGAGGUAACGGCUCACCUAGGCGACGAUACAUAGCCGACCUGAGAGGGUGAUCGGCCACACUGGGACUGAGACACGGCCCAGACUCCUACGGGAGGCAGCAGUAGGGAAUCUUCGGCAAUGGACGAAAGUCUGACCGAGCAACGCCGCGUGAGUGAAGAAGGUUUUCGGAUCGUAAAGCUCUGUUGUAAGAGAAGAACGGGUGUGAGAGUGGAAAGUUCACACUGUGACGGUAUCUUACCAGAAAGGGACGGCUAACUACGUG